RNAcentral lists this ribosomal RNA (502 nucleotides) under uncultured Spirochaeta sp. RNAcentral's name for it is "bacterial SSU rRNA". It matches the Rfam family "Bacterial small subunit ribosomal RNA", at positions 903 to 1382 of the family's 1533-position model. The record is from RNAcentral. Lineage: Bacteria; Pseudomonadati; Spirochaetota; Spirochaetia; Spirochaetales; Spirochaetaceae.
GCCUUGCCAGCCCGCUCAGAAACUUAAAGGAAGUUAGACGGGGCCCGGCACAAGCGGUGGAGCAUGUGGUUAAUUCGAUGAUACGCGAGGAACCUUACCUGGGCUCAAAUGUAUGUUGACGUAUUUCUGAAAGGGAUACUUCUUCGGACAAUAUACAAGGUGCUGCAUGGUUGUCGUCAGCUCGUGCCGUGAGGUGUCGGGUUAAGUCCCAUAACGAGCGCAACCCUAUCAUCUGUUGCCAGCAUUUAAGGUGGGGACUCAGAUGAGACUGCCGGUGACAAACCGGAGGAAGGUGGGGACGACGUCAAGUCAUCAUGGCCCUUAUGUCCUGGGCUACACACGUGCUACAAUGGCCGGUACAGAGUGAAGCGAAACCGCGAGGUGAAGCAAAACGCAGAAAGCCGGUCUCAGUACGGAUUGGAGUCUGAAACUCGACUUCAUGAAGUUGGAAUCGCUAGUAAUCGCGCAUCAGCAUGGCGCGGUGAAUACGUUCCCGGGCCUU